Molecule: ribosomal RNA, 490 nt
Filed under: uncultured bacterium
Lineage: Bacteria
Description: bacterial SSU rRNA
Rfam family: Bacterial small subunit ribosomal RNA
Source: RNAcentral
AUGAACGCUGGCGGCGUGCUUAACACAUGCAAGUCGAACGGAGUUUUUAACGGAAGUUUUCGGAUGGAAGUUUAAGAACUUAGUGGCGGACGGGUGAGUAACGCGUGGGUAACCUGCCUCAUACAGGGGGAUAACAGUUAGAAAUGACUGCUAACACCGCAUAAUAUAGCGAAACCGCAUGAUUUUUGCUAUCAAAUAUUUAUAGGUAUGAGAUGGGCCCGCGUCUGAUUAGCUAGUUGGUGGGGUAAAAGCCUACCAAGGCGACGAUCAGUAGCCGGCUUGAGAGAGUGACCGGCCACAUUGGGACUGAGACACGGCCCAAACUCCUACGGGAGGCAGCAGUGGGGAAUAUUGGACAAUGGGGGAAACCCUGAUCCAGCGAACCGCCGCGUGAGUGAAGAAGUAUUUCGGUAUGUAAAGCUCUAUCAGCAGGGAAGAUAAUGACAGUACCUGACUAAGAAGCCCCGGCUAACUACGUGCCAGCAGCCGC